GCCCACUUAGCUUAAAGGGUAGAGCAUCGCAUUUGUAAUGCGACGGUCGUCGGUUCAAAGCUCAUAGUCAGCC
RNAcentral lists this transfer RNA (73 nucleotides) under Triticum aestivum (bread wheat). It matches the Rfam family "tRNA". Rfam says of the family: Transfer RNA (tRNA) molecules are approximately 80 nucleotides in length. Their secondary structure includes four short double-helical elements and three loops (D, anti-codon, and T loops). Lineage: Eukaryota; Viridiplantae; Streptophyta; Magnoliopsida; Poales; Poaceae. The record is from Rfam by way of RNAcentral.